GAUGAAGAACGUAGCGAAAUGCGAUAAGUAAUGUGAAUUGCAGAAUUCAGUGAAUCAUCGAAUCUUUGAACGCACAUUGCGCCCCCUGGUAUUCCGGGGGGCAUGCCUGUUCGAGCGUCAUUUCACCACUCAAGCCUCGCUUGGUAUUGGGCAACGCGGUCCGCCGCGUGCCUCAAAUCAACCGGCUGGGUCUUCUGUCCCCUAAGCGUUGUGGAAACUAUUCGCUAAAGGGUGUUCGGGAGGCUACGCCGUAAAACAACCCCAUUUCUAAGGUUGACCUCGGAUCAGGUAGGGAUACCCGCUGAACUUAAGCAUAUCAAUAAGCGGAGGA
RNAcentral lists this unclassified non-coding RNA (331 nucleotides) under soil metagenome. RNAcentral describes it as "partial contains 5.8S ribosomal RNA, internal transcribed spacer 2, and large subunit ribosomal RNA". The stretch from base 1 to 120 matches the Rfam family "5.8S ribosomal RNA", at positions 35 to 154 of the family's 154-position model. The record is from RNAcentral.